RNAcentral lists this ribosomal RNA (659 nucleotides) under uncultured beta proteobacterium. Its description in RNAcentral is "bacterial SSU rRNA". It matches the Rfam family "Bacterial small subunit ribosomal RNA", at positions 8 to 664 of the family's 1533-position model. Lineage: Bacteria; Pseudomonadati; Pseudomonadota; Betaproteobacteria. The record is from RNAcentral.
AGAGUUGUAUCCUGGCUCAGAUUGAACGCUGGCGGCAUGCCUUACACAUGCAAGUCGAACGGUAACGCGGGGCAACCUGGCGACGAGUGGCGAACGGGUGAGUAAUAUAUCGGAACGUGCCCAGUAGUGGGGGAUAGCCCGGCGAAAGCCGGAUUAAUACCGCAUACGACCUAAGGGUGAAAGGGGGGGAUCGCAAGACCUCUCGCUAUUGGAGCGGCCGAUAUCAGAUUAGCUAGUUGGUGGGGUAAAAGCCUGCCAAGGCGACGAUCUGUAGCUGGUCUGAGAGGACGACCAGCCACACUGGGACUGAGACACGGCCCAGACUCCUACGGGAGGCAGCAGUGGGGAAUUUUGGACAAUGGACGAAAGUCUGAUCCAGCCAUGCCGCGUGCGGGAAGAAGGCCUUCGGGUUGUAAACCGCUUUUGUCAGGGAAGAAAUCCCUUGGGAUAAUACCUCGGGGGGAUGACGGUACCUGAAGAAUAAGCACCGGCUAACUACGUGCCAGCAGCCGCGGUAAUACGUAGGGUGCAAGCGUUAAUCGGAAUUACUGGGCGUAAAGCGUGCGCAGGCGGUUAUAUAAGACAGAGGUGAAAUCCCCGGGCUCAACCUGGGAACUGCCUUUGUGACUGUAUAGCUUGAGUGCGGCAGAGGGGGAUGG